UACCCGCGCCACGAGUGAUAACCACGUUUAUUGGGCUUAAAGCGUUCGUAGCCGGUCCAGAAAGUCUUUAGUGAAAUCCCAUAGCUAACUAUGGGGCUUGCUAGGGAAACUGUUGGACUUGGGACCGGGAGAGGCAUGGGGUACUCAAGGGGUAGGGGUAAAAUCCUGUAAUCCUUUGGGGACCACCUGUGGCGAAGGCGCCAUGCCAGAACGGAUCCGACGGUGAGGGACGAAAGCCAGGGGAGCAAAGGGGAUUAGAUACCCCCGUAGUCCUGGCUGUAAACGAUGCCCACUAGACAUUGGCAAUCUUACGUGGGUUGUCAGUGCCGUAGCGAAAGCGUUAAGUGGGCCGCCUGGGGAUACGGUCGCAAGGCUGAAACUUAAGGGAAUUGGCGGGGAGCACACAAGGGGUGGAGGCUGCGGUUU
This 426-nucleotide ribosomal RNA is filed under the name uncultured archaeon. Its description in RNAcentral is "bacterial SSU rRNA". It matches the Rfam family "Archaeal small subunit ribosomal RNA", at positions 474 to 903 of the family's 1478-position model. The record is from RNAcentral.